RNAcentral lists this ribosomal RNA (301 nucleotides) under uncultured bacterium. Its description in RNAcentral is "partial 16S ribosomal RNA". It matches the Rfam family "Bacterial small subunit ribosomal RNA", at positions 509 to 807 of the family's 1533-position model. The record is from RNAcentral.
CAGUCGCCGCGGGAAUACGAAGGGGGCUAGCGUUGCUCGGAAUCACUGGGCGUAAAGGGUGCGUAGGCGGGUCUUUAAGUCAGGGGUGAAAUCCUGGAGCUCAACUCCAGAACUGCCUUUGAUACUGAAGAUCUUGAGUUCGGGAGAGGUGAGUGGAACUGCGAGUGUAGAGGUGAAAUUCGUAGAUAUUCGCAAGAACACCAGUGGCGAAGGCGGCUCACUGGCCCGAUACUGACGCUGAGGCACGAAAGCGUGGGGAGCAAACAGGAUUAGAUACCCCAGUAGUCCCUGUCUCUUAUAC